UCGAACGGCAGCGCGUCCUUCGGGAUGGCGGCGAGUGGCGAACGGGUGAGUAAUACAUCGGAACGUGCCCGAUCGUGGGGGAUAACGAAGCGAAAGCUUUGCUAAUACCGCAUACGAUCUGCGGAUGAAAGCGGGGGAUCGCAAGACCUCGCGCGGACGGAGCGGCCGAUGGCAGAUUAGGUAGUUGGUGGGAUAAAAGCUUACCAAGCCGACGAUCUGUAGCUGGUCUGAGAGGAUGAUCAGCCACACUGGGACUGAGACACGGCCCAGACUCCCACGGGAGGCAGCAGUGGGGAAUUUUGGACAAUGGGCGCAAGCCUGAUCCAGCCAUGCCGCGUGCAGGAUGAAGGCCUUCGGGUUGUAAACUGCUUUUGUACGGAACGAAAAGGUUCUGGUUAAUACCUAGGGCCCAUGACGGUACCGUAAGAAUAAGCGCCGGCUAACUACGUGCCAGCAGCCGCGGUAAUACGUAGGGUGCAAGCGUUAAUCGGAAUUACUGGGCGUAAAGCGUGCGCAGGCGGUGAUGUAAGACAGAGGUGAAAUCCCCGGGCUCAACCUGGGAACUGCCUUUGUGACUGCAUCGCUGGAGUACGGCAGAGGGGGAUGGAAUUCCGCGUGUAGCAGUGAAAUGCGUAGAUAUGCGGAGGAACACCGAUGGCGAAGGCAAUCCCCUGGGCCUGUACUGACGCUCAUGCACGAAAGCGUGGGGAGCAAACAGGAUUAGAUACCCUGGUAGUCCACGCCCUAAACGAUGUCAACUGGUUGUUGGGGAUUAAUUUCUUCAGUAACGAAGCUAACGCGUGAAGUUGACCGCCUGGGGAGUACGGCCGC
RNAcentral lists this ribosomal RNA (831 nucleotides) under uncultured beta proteobacterium. RNAcentral describes it as "bacterial SSU rRNA". It matches the Rfam family "Bacterial small subunit ribosomal RNA", at positions 62 to 889 of the family's 1533-position model. The record is from RNAcentral. Lineage: Bacteria; Pseudomonadati; Pseudomonadota; Betaproteobacteria.